AUGCCCUGAACGCGAUAUCGAGGAUCUGCCCAUAUAAAGAUAGAGGUUAU
RNAcentral lists this ribosomal RNA (50 nucleotides) under Mus cervicolor (fawn-colored mouse). RNAcentral's name for it is "16S mitochondrial ribosomal RNA". Lineage: Eukaryota; Metazoa; Chordata; Mammalia; Rodentia; Muridae. The record is from RNAcentral.